This is a long non-coding RNA of Parus major (Great Tit), 343 nucleotides long. The record is from Ensembl. Lineage: Eukaryota; Metazoa; Chordata; Aves; Passeriformes; Paridae.
GGGGAAUAACAUGUCUUUGACAUCUCUGCAGAUCCUGGUAAGUGAGGCGGUGCAGACCCAUGGAUUGUCCUUUGCUACAUGUUUAUAGUGUGAACUUCCAGUCCAUCUGCCCAUACAGCCAUCUGCAAAAACACCAGGGACACAGCUGGGAGAAAUAAAAGCUAAGUGCAAGUGAUAAAACCAGUUUUGACUCCAGUGUGCAGAUUUGUACCCCCUGAGCUAGGAAAUGUGGAUGUUUGAAAUCCAGCAGCAAUUCCUGCCUCUCUUGUGUUAUGUAGAGAGCAAAGGCACAGUGGGAGAGAGGAAGGAAAGAUACAUUCAGGUACAGAUGAAGGACAGAUGA